Long non-coding RNA from Cebus imitator (Panamanian white-faced capuchin), 492 nucleotides. RefSeq lists it as uncharacterized. The record is from RefSeq and is a predicted model, not a curated record. NCBI's taxonomy places the organism in Eukaryota, Metazoa, Chordata, Mammalia, Primates, Cebidae. The transcript is spliced from 3 exons.
CAGCCCAGGCCUGAACAGGCAGUGGCCAAAGUGACCCCAAGAGAGUAUCCAGGGACUCAAGCCUCUGAUCAAGUUACCCCCAGAGGAUCAGAGAGGGGGUGACGAAGGGGAAGCAUUCAGAGGGCACUGGCUUCUGGACAGCAAUGAGUGCCCGGGCCACGCGGCCCCGAAGCCGGCGAGGGAGGCAUGUUCCACCCGGUGAACUGGACCCCGUGGCUGAGAGUUCAGAGGAGGUCGAGGCAGCCGGUGGAAGCGCCAAGCCCAGCCUUGCCCCACCUCUGGGGGGCUCUGGGCCGGAGCAGCUGGGCCCCACGGAGGAGGUCAGUGGCCAAGGCCUAGGAAGCAGGUAAGACCCGCUUGGUCUAUGCCCUUCAGCCCAGUCCAGACGCAUCUUUGCCCCCCACAGGUCUGCUGGUGUACCUCCUCUGCUCACUCGCUUGCCAUAGCUCCCUGCUGCCCUCAGCCUGAUGACUUUCUUUCUUUCCUCUUUCU